This is a long non-coding RNA of Cotesia glomerata, 659 nucleotides long. RefSeq lists it as uncharacterized. The record is from RefSeq and is a predicted model, not a curated record. Lineage: Eukaryota; Metazoa; Arthropoda; Insecta; Hymenoptera; Braconidae. The transcript is spliced from 2 exons.
GUUGUGUCGCGAGUCUCAACUGUUUGUUGCGCACACCGCGAGCUACUCCGCGACAGAACACUAUUGCCAACUCGGAGAAAUCAAAGUCCGCUUUCAGAAUAAGUAUCGUUAUUUUAGCAACAGCAAUAAGAGCGGAUGAUAAACAAAAAAUAAUAAUAAUUGAGAAAAAUGAAGACAAGUUUAAAGAAAGAUAUGUGCAAAUAGUGUUGGUAAGACUUGGCUGGGAUAAUGAGUGGGAGAAAGGUCGUGCAGCUGAUGAUACUAGUGCGGCUGCACCUAAACUCGCCUUGUGCCGGGGAGAAUUACAGUAGAUGGAGAUGGAUAUAACGUAAAACAUACAACAGACUGAGAGAAUGGGGAGAGACGGGACAGAGAAAAAAUAGAUAUUUGACAUUACUGGAUGACUUGACAAGACUAACUAAUGUAAAUUUUACAUCUAUAAUAUUUUUGAUUGUAGGUACAAUCAUUCAUUUUGCUCCGUUCUAUUCAAUGUCUACAUUCACUUUACCUGUACAGCUUCCUCUGCAAUCUAUUGACUCUACAACCAUUCAACUACAAAGUUAUUUUUCUCUCUAAAAGCCACUUGUACCUUUUACCUGAUUUAUUGGUGACCCAUGGCUUUUCAAUGACUCAAUAAAUUACAGCAUAAAAUUUUCAAA